GCAAGGAAUUUUGUGCAAUGGGCGAAAGCCUGACACAGCGACGCCGCGUGAGGGAAGAAGACCUUCGGGUUGUAAACCUCUUUUCUCAGGGAAGAAUAAUGACGGUACCUGAGGAAUAAGUCACGGCUAACUACGUGCCAGCAGCCGCGGUAAUACGUAGGUGGCAAGCGUUAUCCGGAUUCACUGGGCGUAAAGGGAGCGUAGGUGGUCCGCUAAGUCGGAUGUGAAAUCUCCUGGCUUAACUGGGAGGAGUCAUUCGAUACUGUCGGACUUGAGGGCAGUAGAGGAAGGUGGAAUUCCCGGUGUAGUGGUGAAAUGCGUAGAUAUCGGGAGGAACACCAGUGGCGAAGGCGGCCUUCUGGGCUGUUCCUGACACUGAGGCUCGAAAGCGUGGGGAGCGAACAGGAUUAGAAACCCCAGUAGUCC
RNAcentral lists this ribosomal RNA (426 nucleotides) under uncultured bacterium. RNAcentral's name for it is "bacterial SSU rRNA". It matches the Rfam family "Bacterial small subunit ribosomal RNA", at positions 354 to 796 of the family's 1533-position model. The record is from RNAcentral.